RNAcentral lists this ribosomal RNA (465 nucleotides) under uncultured bacterium. RNAcentral's name for it is "partial 16S ribosomal RNA". The stretch from base 50 to 465 matches the Rfam family "Bacterial small subunit ribosomal RNA", at positions 36 to 507 of the family's 1533-position model. The record is from RNAcentral.
GGGGGGGGGGGGGGGGGGGCGUGGCGGGGGGGGGGCGGGCGGGGGGGCCCUGGUGGCGGGGUACUCGAGUGGCGAGCGGGGGAGGAACACGUGGGGGGUCUGCCCUGCACGGCGGGAGGAGCCUGGGAAACUGGGUCUAAUACCGGGUCGGCGCCAUUGUUGGUGUGAGGGUUGGACAGUUUUUUCGGUGUAGGAUGAGCUCGCGGCCUAUCAGCUUGUUGGGGGGGGAAUGGCCUACCAAGGCGGCGACGGGUAGCCGGCCUGAGAGGGUGGACGGCCACAUUGGGACUGAGAUACGGCCCAGACUCCUACGGGAGGCAGCAGUGGGGAAUAUUGCACAAUGGGCGCAAGCCUGAUGCAGCGACGCCGCGUGGGGGAUGACGGCCUUCGGGUUGUAAACCCCUUUCGCUAGGGACGAAGCUUUUUGUGACGGUACCUAGAUAAGAAGCACCGGCUAACUACGUG